CGGGACCACUAUCAAGUUAGCGGGAGGAGCAUCUAUUUAAGCUGGACAAGAGUAUCAAUCUACCGGAGGAAAAUGUACUUCUCAGCCUGGUGAUCUCACUAUGUUGCAGAUAACGGGUGGACGUGGUUCCGACCCAGGCGGCCGGCGCCCCCAGCCUUAACUGGCCAGGACGCCCGGCUAAGUGCCCGCCAGUAUACAAAACUCAAGAAUUCAUUUUGUGAAGUCCUGAUAUAUCAUUUAAUUGAUUAAAACUUUCAACAACGGAUCUCUUGGUUCUGGCAUCGAUGAACAACGCAGCGAAAUGCGAUAAGUAAUGUGAAUUGCAGAAUUCAGUGAAUCAUCGAAUCUUUGAACGCACAUUGCGCCCUCUGGUAUUCCGGAGGGCAUGCCUGUUCGAGCGUCAUUUCAACCCUCAAGCUCUGCUUGGUAUUGGGCAACGUCCGCUGCCGGACGUGCCUUGAAGACCUCGGCGACGGCGUCCUAGCCUCGAGCGUAGUANUAAAAUAUCUCGCUUUGGAGUGCUGGGCGACGGCCCGCGGACAAUCGACCUUCGGUCUAUUUUUCCAGGGUUGACCUCGGAUCAGGUAGGGAUACCGCUGAACUUAAGC
This 608-nucleotide ribosomal RNA is filed under the name Phyllosticta capitalensis. Its description in RNAcentral is "eukaryotic LSU rRNA". The stretch from base 250 to 403 matches the Rfam family "5.8S ribosomal RNA". The record is from RNAcentral. Lineage: Eukaryota; Fungi; Ascomycota; Dothideomycetes; Botryosphaeriales; Phyllostictaceae.